GCCGCGGUGAAUACGUUCCCGGGCCUUGUACACACCGCCCGUCACACCACGAGAGUUUGUAACACCCGAAGUCGGUGGGGUAACCUUUAUGGAGCCAGCCGCCUAAGGUGGGACAGAUGAUUGGGGUGAAGUCGUAACAAGGUAGCCGUAUCGGAAGGUGCGGCUGGAUCACCUCCUUUCUAAGGA
RNAcentral lists this ribosomal RNA (186 nucleotides) under Priestia flexa. Its description in RNAcentral is "Bacillus flexus partial 16S ribosomal RNA". It matches the Rfam family "Bacterial small subunit ribosomal RNA", at positions 1356 to 1533 of the family's 1533-position model. The record is from RNAcentral. Lineage: Bacteria; Bacillati; Bacillota; Bacilli; Caryophanales; Bacillaceae.